AGAGUUUGAUCCUGGCUCAGGAUGAACGCUGGCGGCGUGCCUAAUACAUGCAAGUCGAGCGAACGGACGAGAAGCUUGCUUCUCUGAUGUUAGCGGCGGACGGGUGAGUAACACGUGGAUAACCUACCUAUAAGACUGGGAUAACUUCGGGAAACCGGAGCUAAUACCGGAUGAUAUUUUGAACCGCAUGGUUCAAAAGUGAAAGACGGUCUUGCUGUCACUUAUAGAUGGAUCCGCGCUGCAUUAGCUAGUUGGUAAGGUAACGGCUUACCAAGGCAACGAUGCAUAGCCGACCUGAGAGGGUGAUCGGCCACACUGGAACUGAGACACGGUCCAGACUCCUACGGGAGGCAGCAGUAGGGAAUCUUCCGCAAUGGGCGAAAGCCUGACGGAGCAACGCCGCGUGAGUGAUGAAGGUCUUCGGAUCGUAAAACUCUGUUAUUAGGGAAGAACAUAUGUGUAAGUAACUGUGCACAUCUUGACGGUACCUAAUCAGAAAGCCACGGCUAACUACGUGCCAGCAGCCGCGGUAAUACGUAGGUGGCAAGCGUUAUCCGGAAUUAUUGGGCGUAAAGCGCGCGUAGGCGGUUUUUUAAGUCUGAUGUGAAAGCCCACGGCUCAACCGUGGAGGGUCAUUGGAAACUGGAAAACUUGAGUGCAGAAGAGGAAAGUGGAAUUCCAUGUGUAGCGGUGAAAUGCGCAGAGAUAUGGAGGAACACCAGUGGCGAAGGCGACUUUCUGGUCUGUAACUGACGCUGAUGUGCGAAAGCGUGGGGAUCAAACAGGAUUAGAUACCCUGGUAGUCCACGCCGUAAACGAUGAGUGCUAAGUGUUAGGGGGUUUCCGCCCCUUAGUGCUGCAGCUAACGCAUUAAGCACUCCGCCUGGGGAGUACGACCGCAAGGUUGAAACUCAAAGGAAUUGACGGGGACCCGCACAAGCGGUGGAGCAUGUGGUUUAAUUCGAAGCAACGCGAAGAACCUUACCAAAUCUUGACAUCCUUUGACAACUCUAGAGAUAGAGCCUUCCCCUUCGGGGGACAAAGUGACAGGUGGUGCAUGGUUGUCGUCAGCUCGUGUCGUGAGAUGUUGGGUUAAGUCCCGCAACGAGCGCAACCCUUAAGCUUAGUUGCCAUCAUUAAGUUGGGCACUCUAAGUUGACUGCCGGUGACAAACCGGAGGAAGGUGGGGAUGACGCCAAAUCAUCAUGCCCCUUAUGAUUUGGGCUACACACGUGCUACAAUGGACAAUACAAAGGGCAGCGAAACCGCGAGGUCAAGCAAAUCCCAUAAAGUUGUUCUCAGUUCGGAUUGUAGUCUGCAACUCGACUACAUGAAGCUGGAAUCGCUAGUAAUCGUAGAUCAGCAUGCUACGGUGAAUACGUUCCCGGGUCUUGUACACACCGCCCGUCACACCACGAGAGUUUGUAACACCCGAAGCCGGUGGAGUAACCUUUUAGGAGCUAGCCGUCGAAGGUGGGACAAAUGAUUGGGGUGAAGUCGUAACAAGGUAGCCGUAUCGGAAGGUGCGGCUGGAUCACCU
RNAcentral lists this ribosomal RNA (1540 nucleotides) under Staphylococcus aureus. RNAcentral's name for it is "16S ribosomal RNA". It matches the Rfam family "Bacterial small subunit ribosomal RNA". The record is from RNAcentral. Lineage: Bacteria; Bacillati; Bacillota; Bacilli; Caryophanales; Staphylococcaceae.